GACGAACGCUGGCGGCGCGCUUAACACAUGCAAGUCGAACGGAAAGGCCUGCUUUCCCUUGUGGAUUGCGGGUACUCGAGUGGCGAACGGGUGAGUAACACGUGAGUGAUCUGCCCCCAACUUGGGUAUAAGCCUGGGAAACUGGGUCUAAUUCCCGAUAGGACUGCAGGGUGGUGCCUGUGGUGGAAAACGAUUUUCUAGUGGUUGGGGAUGAGCUCGCGGCCUAUCAGCUUGUUGGUGGGGUAAUGGCCUACCAAGGCGGCGACGGGUAGCCGGCCUGAGAGGGUGGACGGCCACAUUGGGACUGAGAUACGGCCCAGACUCCUACGGGAGCCAGCAGUGGGGAAUAUUGCACAAUGGGCGGAAGCCUGAUGCAGCGACGCCGCGUGGGGGAUGACGGCCUUCGGGUUGUAAACUCCUUUCGACCGCGAGGAAGCCACCUGGUUGGAAGGGUGGUGACGGUAGUGGUAGAAGAAGCACCGGCUAACUACGUG
Molecule: ribosomal RNA, 494 nt
Filed under: uncultured bacterium
Lineage: Bacteria
Description: partial 16S ribosomal RNA
Rfam family: Bacterial small subunit ribosomal RNA
Source: RNAcentral